GGGUGGGCUUCCUCCACCUUGGGAGGAAAAAUCAGAUUAAAUGGUUUGCUUGUUGAAGAAACCAUUAAUUUUUGCAUUUACCCCUUAUGCUUUCAUUCUCCCCCCCCCAUUUUUCCUGUAAGUCCUCUCCCCGCUAUUCAUUCUCCAAAAAGAAGGUGUGGAUAUUUUGAAAAGGAAGCCUCUUUCUUAUACUAUGAAUUUUGCCUACAAUGGGCUAAUUCCCAAAGCAGUUGGCCACCUGUGGGAGUAAUUAGUCACUUGUCAGACCUUCUGAGGUUAGUCAAUUGCAGUUGCAGUUUAUUAUACAGUUUUGCAUCCACAAAUAACUAUGGCUGUUAAAACCACCCAUAGAGAAAAAAAAAGACUAGGCAGAAGUUUUACAAAGUUGGGAUAUUGCUUUACAUUUAUAAAUGAAGCUUGGGUAACAUUCAGCUCUAUUCUUUUUAUCCCAACCCAGAAAAAUUAGAGUCUGGGAUGCUGAAGUAAAAGUAUUUUAACGUUAUCUUACUUUAAGGGGUGAGCAGGACACAAGUUCAUGUUACCUUUAUAAUUUUACUUGACAAACUAAAGAUGAAUAUUGAUUGGUUAUAUAAAGAUUUUAGUUUUCUAAAGUGCAAAUGUGUACUAGUAUAAUAUAAAAUGAGCCACUUUAUAUUUAAGGCAAUUAUAUCAAGAACUUUGUUCUCAUGGGUGAGCAGCAGUAUGGAUAGCAGCCACCUUGAUUAGCCAUCCUAGGGUUAAUCUGGUAUACUGUUUAUGAUUCCAUCCAUGGAAGGUAUUUUCCAUUCUACUAAUUAAAUUAAAUGUAUUUAUCAAUGGCUUCUAUUAUCAGUCAUGCUUCUAGGAAGGAAAGAGUCUAUAAAAAGAUGAGCAAAGAUAAUUCAGCAUUAAAACAAAGACUAGCACUUACUGAUAGUGCCCUAUGUAAUAAGCACUGUUUUAAGUAUUCUACGUGAAUUAAUUUAUUUAAUCAUCACAACCUCUUGAGAAAGAGACCUUGCAGAGUUGAGUGGAUUGCAGCUCCUAAACCUCAUUGAAGAUAAUGAAUGCAAAUAAAUACUUGAAGAAACAACAAUCUCUAAUUUCUAUAAGAAAAAUAAUAGACCAAACUACUGUGAAGAGAGACCUGCAGAAUGGGACCUGCUAAUAUUGGAUCUGAAUGGUUUCUAUUUUGCCAGUGGCUGUGUGAGUGUGACUGGAAAAAGGAAGAAGGAAGGAAACAAACAUUUUUGAAUACCUGCUAUGGGCUAGGAAUGUUACCAUGUGGUAAGAGGCUUACAGGUACUAACUAACUCAGUGUUUACAUCAUCAUGUGAGAUAGGGUACCGUUUUAAAAAGUGAUGGGAAUUUGGUCUUCAGAUUUACUCAAAGGACAUCUUAUGGUUACUACUUCUCAGAAACAUUCUCCCCUAAGCUGCUCAGCAGAAACUAAAAAUAUACUUAGUCUCCUGAAGUAUCAGGCCACCUGUAAACCAGUGACAGGGCUCACUAAGUAAACAGGAAAGCCAGCAUCCUCUGCGUCAGAAACCAAACACUCGCACCAGAACCAGUUCUGGGGAGGAUGCUCAGUACAGUGACCUCAGCCUGUACCAGGCUCACCACCAUUAAUCACUCCAUAUAAUUCAAGCCAGAAAUUUAAUGAGCCCAAGGGAUCAGUGACCCCCUGGAGUGGAAGCUGAGAAAGUGAACUAGAGGCAAAAUACAAAACACAAAAGUGGCUCCCAUAAGGUGGCAGUGGCUUCUCAGUUCCCAAGAAAUAAGUGAUUUUAGAUGGACUUUAUCCCUCAUGGAAUCAGAUGGAGUACAAUCAUCUGAAGAGCCAUACCCUCUAUGACUUGAUAUACAUUGAGACUUGGUAACUAAGUUCUACCCAAAGGUGGAUAUCCUCUUUCCUAGAAUUUCUAGAAAUGAGGAUGCACAGGUAUUUUGUGGUUUGUGUCAUGGCUUUUGUAGUUCCAUAAACAUGUAGUCCCCAUUCUCUCCAAUGAAAUGAAGGUGAAACAAUAUUGGGACCUUGCGAUUUCAUGGAAAAGAUGCAUGGAUUGGAAUAGCUUGUACUGAUGGGAGCAAAUCAUGUUAGUCCAGGAGUGAACCCAACUGACUACUCUGCAAGAACUUACCAGGGAAACUUGCUUGUCCCAAUCUGAUAAGGUGAUUAAGAGAAGCUAAGAGAGGCAGUGUGUCCAAGGUCACAGAAAGAGCACAAAAAGGUGCUUCAAGUAUUAUGCUAAGCAAAAUAGCCAUUCAGAGAAAGAGAAAUACCAUAUGAUCUCCUACUAUGUGGAAUCUAAU
Molecule: long non-coding RNA, 2292 nt
Organism: Myotis davidii
Lineage: Eukaryota; Metazoa; Chordata; Mammalia; Chiroptera; Vespertilionidae
Exons: 12
Source: RefSeq, a predicted model, not a curated record